AGUGAUAUAGCAGACAGAAGUCAUACAUACAUGUGUUUACACAAAUGUAUGUAUGACCUCGGGAUGCGAACAUACAUGAGGAAAAAAGAUAUGUGAAUGGAAUGAACAUAUCGAUUUCCGAAUGUAUGUAGGAUUGCGAGAGUGGAACGGAGCAAUCCGUAUAUCACU
This 168-nucleotide small RNA is filed under the name Butyrivibrio sp. INlla14. RNAcentral's name for it is "Clostridiales-1 RNA". It matches the Rfam family "Clostridiales-1 RNA". The record is from Rfam by way of RNAcentral. Lineage: Bacteria; Bacillati; Bacillota; Clostridia; Lachnospirales; Lachnospiraceae.